This 870-nucleotide ribosomal RNA is filed under the name uncultured archaeon. Its description in RNAcentral is "bacterial SSU rRNA". It matches the Rfam family "Archaeal small subunit ribosomal RNA", at positions 1 to 880 of the family's 1478-position model. The record is from RNAcentral.
CUCCGGUUGAUCCUGCCGGACCUGACUGCUAUCGGAUUGGUACUAAGCCAUGCGAGUCAUUGUAGCAAUACAAGGCGGACGGCUCAGUAACACGUAGUCAACCUAACUCGUGGACGUGGAUAACCUCGGGAAACUGAGAAUAAACCACGAUAGAUCAUAGUGCCUGGAAUGGCUUAUGGUCCAAACAGUUUACUGCCAUGGGAUGGGACUGCGGCCUAUCAGCUUGUUGGUGAGGUAAUGGCCCACCAAGGCGAUUACAGGUACGGGCUCUGAGAGGAGAAGCCCGGAGAUGGGUACUGAGACACGGACCCAGGCCCUAUGGGGCGCAGCAGGCGAGAAACCUUAGCAAUGUGCGAAAGCACGACUGGGUCAGUCCGAGUGAUUCCUGAUAAAGGAGUCUUUUGCUUGUCCUAAAAGCACAGGUGAAUAAGGGGUGGGCAAGUCUGGUGUCAGCCGCCGCGGUAAUACCAGCACCUCGAGUGGUCAGGACGUUUAUUGGGCCUAAAGCAUCCGUAGCCGGCUCUGCAAGUCUUCGGUUAAAUCCACCUGCUCAACAGAUGGGCUGCUGGAGAUACUACAGAGCUAGGGAGUGGGAGAGGCAGACGGUAUUCAGUGGGUAGGGGUAAAAUCCUUUGAUCCAUUGAAGACCACCAGUGGCGAAGGCGGCUUGCCAGAACGCGCUCGACGGUGAGGGAUGAAAGCUGGGGGAGCAAACCGGAUUAGAUACCCGGGUAGUCCCAGCUGUAAACGAUGCAAACUCGGUGAUGCAUUGGCUUAUGGCCAAUGCAGUGCCGCAGGGAAGCCGUUAAGUUUGCCGCCUGGGAAGUACGGACGCAAGUCUGAAACUUAAAGGAAUUGGGGGGGGACACA